CCUACGGGGGGCAGCAGUCGGGAAUCUUGCGCAAUGGAGGAAACUCUGACGGAGCGACGCCGCGUGCAGGAAGAAGGUUUUCGGAUUGUAAACUGCUUUAGACAGGGAAGAACAAAGACAGUACCUGUAGAAUAAGCUCCGGCUAAAUACGUGCCAGCAGCCGCGGUAAUACAUAGGGCGCAAGCGUUAGCCGGAUUGAAUGGGUGUAAAGGGUGCGUAGAUGGAGAAGCAAGAUAGUUGUGAAAUCCCUCGGCUUAACUGAGGAAAUGCAACUGAAACUACUUCCCUUGAGUACUGGAGAGGAAAGUGGAAGUCCAAGUGUAGCGGUGAAAUGCGUAGAUAUUAGGAGGAACACCAGUGGCGAAGGCGACUUUCUGGACAGUAACUGACGUUGAGGCACGAAAGUGUGGGGAGCAAACAGGAUUAGAUACCCUUGUAGUC
Molecule: ribosomal RNA, 441 nt
Filed under: uncultured bacterium
Lineage: Bacteria
Description: partial 16S ribosomal RNA
Rfam family: Bacterial small subunit ribosomal RNA
Source: RNAcentral